Molecule: ribosomal RNA, 492 nt
Filed under: uncultured bacterium
Lineage: Bacteria
Description: partial 16S ribosomal RNA
Rfam family: Bacterial small subunit ribosomal RNA
Source: RNAcentral
AGUGAACGCUGGCGGUAGGCCUAACACAUGCAAGUCGAACGGCAGCACAGUAAGAGCUUGCUCUUACGGGUGGCGAGUGGCGGACGGGUGAGGAAUACAUCGGCAUCUACUUUUUCGUGGGGGAUAACGUAGGGAAACUUACGCUAAUACAGCAUACGACCUACGGGUGAAAGCAGGGGAUCAUCGGACCUUGCGCGACUCAAUUAGCCGAUGUCGGAUUAGCUAGUUGGCGGGGUAAAGGCCCACCAAGGCGACGAUCCGUAGCUGGUCUGAGAGGAUGAUCAGCCACACUGGAACUGAGACACGGUCCAGACUCCUACGGGAGGCAGCAGUGGGGAAUAUUGGACAAUGGGCGCAAGCCUGAUCCAGCCAUACCGCGUGGGUGAAGAAGGCCUUCGGGUUGUAAAGCCCUUUUGUUGGGAAAGAAAAGCAGCAGGUUAAUACCCCGCUGUUCUGACGGUACCCAAAGAAUAAGCACCGGCUAACUUCGUG